This 250-nucleotide unclassified non-coding RNA is filed under the name Glomeromycotina sp. Its description in RNAcentral is "partial contains small subunit ribosomal RNA, internal transcribed spacer 1, and 5.8S ribosomal RNA". The stretch from base 1 to 47 matches the Rfam family "Eukaryotic small subunit ribosomal RNA", at positions 1785 to 1831 of the family's 1831-position model. The record is from RNAcentral. Lineage: Eukaryota; Fungi; Glomeromycota.
AAAGUCGUAACAAGGUCUCCGUAGGUGAACCUGCGGAGGGAUCAUCAAAGAAUUUCCAAAACCACAAAGUGUUCCUCUCCUCUCCUUUGGUUGGGGGGGGAGUGAAUGCUUUCAAACAAACGAUCACAACUAACUAUGGGAAAUUGGAUUGGAUUGGAUUGGAAACUAAAAAAAGUGUUUGCCUGAUAAUUUGAUUGAUUGGAAAAAAAAGAGAAAAAUACAACUUUCAACAACGGAUCUCUUGGCUCUC